GCCGGUAGCCCAGCAGCUUGGCCUGCUCCAGGAUGUAGUGGUGCAGCGGCAGCUGUGCCCCACACCGCAGCGCUUCCCGCUGCGUGUUCACGUGCACAUUGAUACUGAUCACACAACAAACCAAGUGACUCGGAAGGCCCACUGAACCAGUCUCAUUAAACAAGCUUCUAUUGGCAUUGAAGGCCUGCAGUGAAUCAGCCAAUCAUCAGUCUCGGCCACAUCUGGUCUUCGUGACAUCUGAAAAGUUUGAUACAUGAACCACACCAAAAGCAAACGUGCCUGCUGCUAGACCUCAUGGCAUGCAGACUUGAAGCAUGACAGGCAGAAAUAUAAAUUAAUAAAAUGAUUGAAACCAUGACUUUGCAUGCAAAACUAAGAA
Molecule: long non-coding RNA, 379 nt
Filed under: Dermacentor andersoni
Lineage: Eukaryota; Metazoa; Arthropoda; Arachnida; Ixodida; Ixodidae
Description: uncharacterized LOC126517870
Source: RNAcentral